RNAcentral lists this ribosomal RNA (430 nucleotides) under uncultured bacterium. RNAcentral describes it as "partial 16S ribosomal RNA". It matches the Rfam family "Bacterial small subunit ribosomal RNA", at positions 30 to 506 of the family's 1533-position model. The record is from RNAcentral.
UGAACGCUGGCGGCGUGCCUAAGACAUGCAAGUCGAGUGGGUUUAGACCCACGGCGAACGGGUGAGUAAUACUCAGGAACUUUCUUUAAGUGGAGCAUAACCAGUCGAAAGAUUGGACAAUUCUUCAUGUGACCGCAAGGUUAAAGUCGCAAGACGCUUAAAGUGAGGCCUGAGCACCAUCAGCUAGUUGGUAAGGUAAUGGCUUACCAAGGCUAUGACGGUUAGGGGUCCCGAGAGGGAUAACCCCCACACUGGAACUGCGACACGGUCCAGACUCCUACGGGAGGCAGCAGUUUGGAAUUUUGGACAAUGGGCGAAAGCCUGAUCCAGCGACGCCGCGUGGACGAUGAAGGCCUUCGGGUCGUAAAGUCCUUUUGCUCGGGAACAAUAUUAUGAGCGUACCGAGAGAAUAAGCCCCGGCUAACUUCGU